RNAcentral lists this long non-coding RNA (1138 nucleotides) under Marmota monax (woodchuck). The record is from RNAcentral. Lineage: Eukaryota; Metazoa; Chordata; Mammalia; Rodentia; Sciuridae.
GGUUGUGGGGUGGUUACCUGGUGGAAGUUUUUUUUGCAGUGUAUGUUUUAAUUGUUUCUCAUUCAUCCCAUUGGUGAGGGAGGGAUUUUCACCCUAGGGUUCUGGGGAUGGUCAGAUACAAAAAGUGUACUUGACAACAUGUAUUAACAGCAGUUUUUUUAGUCUCAUAUACUCACUGCCUUAGGGAGGAGUAUUUUACACAUCCCACGAAGCCACAAAAGGGGUUGUACUUGAGAAUAAAAUGAGCAACCAGGGUGAUGGGAUGUGGGCUCUGUGGUAUCAAGGGGGUGAAGUGUCUCCUGAUUCCUAUAGGAAGAUAUGACUAGUUCGUUUAGUUUUUUCCUUGAGCUGGCAGGGAACCAAAACCUGCUACUCAGGGAUAAACAGGAAUUAUACUGCAUCCCCUUGAUAAAAAGGGUUUUUAAGCUAGGGAGCCUCAUCUCAUCUGUAGGGGCAGAGUUGGCAAGGGAACUUGAAUUAGGUCAUUUGAGGUCCUCCUGUUUUCACCAGAAGUCAUGGCAGCAUAUAAUGUUCCUCAAUUUUAGGCCUUAUACUGCAGUGGAGACUUUAAACAAAUCUCUUUGUUUUCAAACUUUCCUGUUAUAUGUGCUAGUGUUUAACAUGUUUUUCAGAGAAACUAGGAGAAUUGUAGAUUUGGGGAUUUACAUGGAACCUCUAGCCCUCUGAAAAGGUGAACUAGGAAUUCUCUGCUAGUUACAUUACUUGAUAUAGCAGAUUAAAUCAAAUACAAAGACUUUUUUCCUCUACCAAACAAAUCAAGUUAGGUUAUAAGAUAACCAUUCUAGAAUGAGGGUGGAAAGUUAAAACUUCCAACCCUAUGACAUCUCCCUAAGUUACGGGCAGAGAUGCCAAAUAUUCCUGAAGAAGUAUAAAAAUUUCAGUAAUCAGCUUCUUUUUAAUAGCUUAAAUAGUAAAUAUCAAUUGGUAAAGUUUAAGAUAAAAGCUAACAUAACCGUGGUACAUAUAUACAAUGGAAUAUUACUCAAACAUAAAGGUGAAAUUAUGGCAUUUGCUGGUAAAUGGAUAGGACUGGAAGCUAUCAUGCUAAGUGAAAUAAGUCAGUCCCCAAAAACCAAAGGCCAAAUAUUCUCUCUGAUAUGCAGGUGCUGACUCAUAG